Molecule: microRNA precursor, 103 nt
Filed under: Marmota monax (woodchuck)
Lineage: Eukaryota; Metazoa; Chordata; Mammalia; Rodentia; Sciuridae
Source: RNAcentral
AGUAGAAUAGCUGGGUCAAAUGGUGGUUCCAUUCCAAGUUUUAUGAGGAAUGUUCAUAUUGCUUUCCAGAGUGGUUGUGCCAAUUUGCAGUCCCACCAGCAAU